GCCGAAGUGGCGGAACUGGGAGACGCGCCAGGUUCAGGACCUGGUGAGGGUUUUCCUCGUAGGGGUUCGAGUCCCCUCUUCGGCA
Molecule: transfer RNA, 85 nt
Filed under: Candidatus Omnitrophota bacterium
Lineage: Bacteria; Pseudomonadati; Candidatus Omnitrophota
Description: Candidatus Omnitrophica bacterium tRNA-Leu
Rfam family: tRNA
About the family: Transfer RNA (tRNA) molecules are approximately 80 nucleotides in length. Their secondary structure includes four short double-helical elements and three loops (D, anti-codon, and T loops).
Source: RNAcentral